CACCUCUCAGGGUCACAACUGGAGAGUUUCCAGUAGUCUACCAGUCUCGACUAAGGGAGGGAGAGUCAAGCAGAGGCAUAUCCAUUCCAUUCCUAGCUUGGUCCAUUGCUAGCAAAUGGAAGGCAAUCUGCUGCAAGU
Non-coding RNA from Ornithorhynchus anatinus (platypus), 138 nucleotides. NCBI's taxonomy places the organism in Eukaryota, Metazoa, Chordata, Mammalia, Monotremata, Ornithorhynchidae. The record is from Rfam.